Long non-coding RNA from Globicephala melas (long-finned pilot whale), 1806 nucleotides. RefSeq lists it as uncharacterized. The record is from RefSeq and is a predicted model, not a curated record. NCBI's taxonomy places the organism in Eukaryota, Metazoa, Chordata, Mammalia, Artiodactyla, Delphinidae.
CCGACAGCCCAGCGGCAAGCAGCUUGCAUAUUGUACUUACAUCAUUCUUAACCCUUCCGUUCCUGGAGGGGGCUUGGCGGGAUCAGGGGAUCCCUGAGCUCCGGAACACGCAGGACCUGGAUGUGAGAGGAGAGUCCCAGAGCCAGGGGAUCAGUGUUUAAAUUGAGUGAAAACAUAAAGGAUCUAAGACCUACUUCUAUCUGUAAAAGGUUUCCCAGGUGGCAGUGGAAAGAAGUCCUUCUUGAUGUAUGUUUCAAAUAAAGGAUUUAUUUGUCAUCUUUGGUUUUCAGCAGUUUGACUCUCAAGUGCCAUAGAUAGUUUUCUUCAUAGUAGUCCUACUUGGAGAUCCUUGAGAUAACUGAAUCUAAUUCCCCCCUUCCCACUUUCCAGUGUCUGUGGUUGCUCUGAACUCUGUCUUCUGAUUCCUCAGGCAAGAAGGAUUGUGGUUUUUCUACCGGAGUUUUAGCCACCUUGUUCAACAUCAACUUAUUUUUGCCCUCAGGCUAAAGGUUGUAAAACAAAUGGGAACCUCCACCCUUGCUUUGGUUUGCUCUCCAGUGCCUUCAGUUUGUUGCUUUUAGUAUUUUGUCGAGAGUUUACAGUUGUUAUAUGCAGGAGCGUCAGAUGCGGUAAAAGCUUACACACCCAUGUCAUAAGGGGAACUGUGAUCAGUUCUUAAUAUGAACUUGAUCUUAUAUCCUUUGUGCCUACUUUGGUGUCAUGAUGUCUUGUUAUUUCUGCAUGGAUGAUGCACCCUUAUUUCUCUUUGAAAUCCUCCAAAUAUUAUUUCAAACUCAUUUUUAUGUUUUAUGAAAUAAAUUCCACUUCAAAUAUAAUUUAUUUUUCUCAUUGCUUUUUUUCAGCUUCUCAUUUUAAAAAAAUUUGUUUUAGAAUUUGCAGGCUUAUUUUGAGUGCUUUUGUUUUCUCUAUUCCCUGUAUUAUUGGGCUGUUUUAUGUGUUUUGUUUGUUUUAUUUAGUUUUUUUUUUUGGCCAUGCUGCGAGGCUUGUGUGAUCUGAAUUCCUCAACCAGCGACUGAACCCAGGCCAUGGUAGUGAAAGCUGAGCCCUAACCACUGGACUGCCAGGAAACUCCCUGUUUUAUGGCACCCACUUAGUUCUCUGGGUGCCCAGUUGAAAACUAGGAUUUAUAAACAUACUUCAAUAAUAUACGGGAGUAUGGAAGACCUAGUAAGCAGUUUAGCUGAGCUUCUAGUAGCAAGAUUGUACUUUUCCUUGGGCUCACAGCUACCAAUAAGCUACAGCCCCCACCAGCAAGUCUGCCAAAUUUUUUCUCCUCUUCCUUUCACAUGUGAGAGAACUCACAUCAGGCCCUGAUUUCAAGUAGCGACACUACUGUUCCUAUCUUGCAUGAAAUACUUUUAGCUCCUCUUCUUCCACAGGAAUCAAAUUCCCGGUGGCUGUUGCUCUAUUUUGACCUGGAUGGAAACCCCCAUCUACUCUUUGGAUAGCCUGGAUAUUAUCUUUUCUAUAAAUCUGAGUAUGUCUUUUUGAUCUCUCUUAGUAUUUCACCCAUUAUUGCUAUGUGUUUGGAGUAGAUGGUGUUUAUAAAGCAUGACCUCAUUGCAAAGUUUGACCCUGAAGUUGACAAGUCCUUUUGUCUUGUCUACUAUAUGCAGCAACGCUUCUAUAUAUUCUUUUGCUUCCCCAUUUUGUGUUUGUCAGAAAAAACAUUUAGUUUCCUUUCCAUGUUCUGCUUAAGCCAGUAGAUGCAAUCUUAUUUGUGUGAAGCAGGCCUCCUGAUUUUUAGAAUUAAGGUCAAGAAGAUGGAGUUAGUGAGUAUUUAUA